GUGCUCACUUCAGCAACACAUAUACUAAUGUUGGAAUGAUACAGAGAUUAGCAUGGCCCCUGCAUGAGAAUAGCAUGCAAAUUCAUGAAGUGUUUUACAUGUUU
Molecule: small nuclear RNA, 104 nt
Organism: Dipodomys ordii (Ord's kangaroo rat)
Lineage: Eukaryota; Metazoa; Chordata; Mammalia; Rodentia; Heteromyidae
Source: Ensembl